This 505-nucleotide ribosomal RNA is filed under the name uncultured bacterium. RNAcentral's name for it is "bacterial SSU rRNA". It matches the Rfam family "Bacterial small subunit ribosomal RNA", at positions 29 to 507 of the family's 1533-position model. The record is from RNAcentral.
AAUGAACGCUGGCGGCGUGCCUCAUACAUGCAAGUCGAACGGGAAAGGUUCUUUCGGGGACUGAGUAUAGUGGCGAACGGGUGAGUAACACGUGAGUGACCUGGCCUGAAGUUGGGAAUAACAUUUCGAAAGGGGUGCUAAUACCCGAUGUGGAUGUUUAUCUGCCUGGAUAGACAUUUAAAGUGGGGGAUUCGCAAGGACCUCAUGCUUCAGGAUGGACUCGCGGCCUAUUAGGUAGUUGGUGAGGUAACGGCUCACCAAGCCGAUGAUGGGUAGCCGGCCUGAGAGGGUGACCGGCCACACUGGGACUGAGAUACGGCCCAGACUCCUACGGGAGGCAGCAGUAGGGGAUUUUGCGCAAUGGGGGAAACCCUGACGCAGCGACGCCGCGUGAAUGAAGAAGCCCUUCGGGGUGUAAAGUUCUGUUGAUAGGGAAGAAUGGUAGUAAGGUGAACAGCCUUAUUAUGUGACGGUACCUAUCGAGGAAGCUCCGGCUAACUCCGUG